UUUAUUUGAGAGUUUGAUCCUGGCUCAGGACGAACGCUGGCGGCGUGCCUAAUACAUGCAAGUUGAGCGCUGAAGGCUGGUA
Molecule: ribosomal RNA, 82 nt
Filed under: Lactococcus lactis subsp. lactis bv. diacetylactis str. TIFN2
Lineage: Bacteria; Bacillati; Bacillota; Bacilli; Lactobacillales; Streptococcaceae
Description: partial 16S ribosomal RNA
Rfam family: Bacterial small subunit ribosomal RNA
Source: RNAcentral